UAUGGUAGGGGGACUGACGUAUGUAUCAUUUCAAAUACAUGUAACAUACCAGGGGCGAAACAGGAUAUUUGCGAUCAUUUGAAAGGCAUGUAUUUCGUGGGCACCGAAUAAAUAUUGCCGAGCUUGGUGAACAGAAAGUUUAAUUCAGUUAACUUUGUUUUGCUAAAAGUAAUAUAAAUCAUAAGAAAUAUGAUAUUUUGUCUACUUUGGUGAUCAAAUUGGGGUGUUCACUUUUAGCCAUAUCCUGGGUCCGCUUCUGCAUUCAUUAACCGUUUACACGACGAUGACCUUCCAAUGACGUAAGUGACCCUUUUAAACUACAUGUAUAUUACAACACGUUGCUCAAAUCUUACAUUAACAAAAUUUUCACAAUAGUGCGAUACAAUUUCAAAUCACGUAUACUAUUUAUAACAUUAGUAAUAACCAUUCCUAAAAAUAGUACUUGCCUAAUACGGGUGUAUUGUCAAAUCUACUUAUGACGUAAAACCCAUACAUACUGUAUAUCAUAUGAUAUGACAAUAUUUUACAAUGUACAAAUCUUUAAACAUGAAUGGUAUGUGGGUCAUAUAGUAAAGGAGUUACGUACUGGUUUUACUCGAGUGUAAAAUCUUUUUAAAUGUCUGUGUAAUCGGCCUACAAACUACCUGAAUUAUAUUGUUAACUUAGAUAGAUAUAUCGUAAAUAUUUUUCAGUUUAUAAAGUAGGCGUAUAAAAUUUCGUGACCAUAAAUGUCUAUUCAUUGUUCGUUUUAGGAAAUACGCAAUGACCACACCUUACGUGUCCACUAUAGUCCAUACUACAAUUUUUUUCGAAUCAUGUGAUUUUGGUGAAAAUUGGCACAAUAUCAAAUGGACUCUCGAUUCUUUAUUUCGUAUAAAAUAUAUAAAACCGAUAGCACUCGUUAUCUAUAAUUUCGUGUUUACCAUUGUCCACAGUUUUGUUAGGCGGAUCAAUUUUUGAUAAAUUAUUAUCUUAACGUUUUACAUGUACAAAAAGAAAUCUCAUAGUAGACAUCAUUAGCAGUCCAUAAGCUCGUGUUCUGCAAAUGUUUUUUAUGUAAGAAGUAGUGUACCUUUUAGAACAUGUACUUCUUGUAUAUUUUAUAGGUGACAUUAAGAUAAGG
This 1123-nucleotide long non-coding RNA is filed under the name Mytilus galloprovincialis (Mediterranean mussel). Lineage: Eukaryota; Metazoa; Mollusca; Bivalvia; Mytilida; Mytilidae. The record is from RNAcentral.